CACGUAGGGCGCAAGCGUUGUCCGGAAUUAUUGGGCGUAAAGAGCUCGUAGGCGGUCUGUUGCGUCCGCUGUGAAAUCUCGGGGCUUAACCCCGAGCCUGCAGUGGAUACGGGCAGACUAGAGGUAGGUAGGGGAGAAUGGAAUUCCCGGUGUAGCGGUGAAAUGCGCAGAUAUCGGGAGGAACACCGGUGGCGAAGGCGGUUCUCUGGGCCUUACCUGACGCUGAGGCACGAAAGCCAGGGGAGCGAACGGG
Molecule: ribosomal RNA, 253 nt
Filed under: uncultured bacterium
Lineage: Bacteria
Description: partial 16S ribosomal RNA
Rfam family: Bacterial small subunit ribosomal RNA
Source: RNAcentral